Molecule: ribosomal RNA, 305 nt
Filed under: uncultured bacterium
Lineage: Bacteria
Description: bacterial SSU rRNA
Rfam family: Bacterial small subunit ribosomal RNA
Source: RNAcentral
UCCUACGGGGCGCAGCAGUGAGGAAUAUUGGUCAAUGGCCGAGAGGCUGAACCAGCCAAGUCGCGUGAGGGAAGACGGCCCUACGGGUUGUAAACCUCUUUUGUCGGGGAGCAAAGCGAGCCACGUGUGGUUCAUUGAGAGUACCCGAAGAAAAAGCAUCGGCUAACUCCGUGCCAGCAGCCGCGGUAAUACGGAGGAUGCGAGCGUUAUCCGGAUUUAUUGGGUUUAAAGGGUGCGCAGGCGGAGGUGCAAGUCAGCGGUCAAAUUGCGGGGCUCAACCCCGUACUGCCGUUGAAACUGCAUCC